AUGGUUCAAUCCAAAAUAAAUGCGCCAGAGAACAGCUGACAAUGAGAAGAAAACAUUUGUCUGAAUUAAAACAAGUCUACAAGAUUUUCAUAACCUUUGGUAAACAGUUUGUAAUUCACUGUAAAUUUUAUUUUUUCAAUGAUAUAAUUAAUAGUCUGGUGUUAGUUAUCUACAUAGUGCUGUAGUCUAGAGUCUUAGGGCAAUUCCUCAUGUCUUCCUGGUGUUUUUGACUACUGCGUCCCAAAUACUCCUUCAAGUAUCAUUUUCUAAUUUGCUUAAUUGACCAUAAUCCUGUUUAAAAUCCUUUGUCUAUAUUGGUUUUCUCUGUUAUUAGCUUUCCAGAUCCCACGGGCAGGCUCAUCAACAUUGGAGGAAUCAUUUUGCUCUGUUUCUUGUCAAUCCACUGACAGAUGAGACUCCUGACAAGCCCAGCUGAGCACCUUCAGCUCCACCCAGGGCUCUUGCUUUCCAUGCCUGGGGUGAGACCACAGCAGGCAGAACCACCUCACGCUGCUGACUGCCCUCUCUGUAUGGAUGAUGGUGGCCACCCAGCACAGCCCAUGACCUAUGGACACAAACGUGGCCUGAUGCAUGAUUAGGCCACAGCUCCUCACAGAGCUCCUCACAGAGCUCUCUGGUCUAGUAUAUCCAUAUCACUGUCUCUGCUACAUCUUGUGAUGGGAAUAAUUUUCUCAAAACUCAGGUCUUCUGGUUGUAGGCCACUAACCACUUACACACUCUAGUACCUCCCCACUGCCAACACCAUGAUGCUUCUAUCUGCAGUGCUGUAGGGUACACAGGCUCUCUUAACUCUGGUGUCCGAUCUGAAGACAGCCCCAGAUGGUUCUAGACUUCCCCUCUGUCAAAGUCCAGUGACCCCUCUAUCAAUUCCACAUGGAAGCAGGCUGACUGCCCUUCAUCUGCCUCCACCAUUUAUUAGCUCUGAGACCGUGGGCAAGGCCAUUCAUUAACUUUCCUGGAUUCUAGCCUCAUCUAGACUCAUCUAUAAAACAAGACUAACAUUCCCCUCAAUGCUUUAUGAGGUUGAACUGAGAUACCGUGUAGUCUCUGUUAGGUUUGAUAAAGGUCUAUCCUUUUAUCCGUCCCUGUCUCCUCAUGCAGGAGGAACCAAUGGAGCUCUCAAACCUGCCAGGACUAUGAGUGAUGGAAACGCUGGAAUCAUCAACUGGGUGCUGGGGUGAGAGGAACUCGGAAGCACAAAGAGGCCAUUCAGUCACUUUGGAAAAGAUCUGGCAGAAUUUAGGAAUCAGACAAUAGAGCACAAAUGUACCUGUCUACCCUCAUUAUGCAAUGUGAAGCAGCUAAUAGGAGCAAGUUAGAUCUAUAUCAACCAAUCUGGAACAAUAAAGACCAGGAUAUAUUAACAGAAAAGAGUAUGCAUGUGGCAGGUAAAGUGUACAGGUGAACCCAUUUUCUGUAGGUGUACUUGGGUAGAAAGGUGUGCAUGAACACAGAAAAGAGGGGUGAAAAGAAGCACACCAGAGCGUUAAUAUUGGUUAUGAGUGGAAGGUGGGAUUGGAUUGGAGAGCAUUAUUGACAUUUUCAUUAUAUAUAUUAUUUAAUUUGUUUAUUAAAAGUUCUUAACCACAUGCAAGCUUUAAGUUUACACUUUUUGUCAGACAUCAGAAUUUGUAGUGUCUAAAUGGGCAAAGUACAGAAAGCUUCUGUUUAUGGAACCCCCUAUAAUGGCCCAUUUAUUUUUUUUACUAAACCGAGGAGAAAGUGUGCUCUGUAAAAGCACACGAGCUCCUGGUGAACACAGACAGUCUCUGACUGCUGAGGAGGGUGAGCAUCGAGGUCGAUACAUUUGAUGGUGAGGUCAGCUUGGCUGAUUAUGAACUAAUAAGGCUUCUACCUGUGAAAGCCUGAUCACCACGGGGAAGUGGAGGAUCUCACCCCUUGUUCUAGAACAGCCUUUGAAUAGCCCCUGAUUGGAAAAGGAAGAGAAAUGAGCACCCUCUAGUGCCUGCAUUUCCAAACUCAGUGAGAGCUCGUUUCCAGUUUUACAUUGUUCAAGCUUUAGAAAUGCUCUUUGUUUCUGAUCCAAGUAGCAGUAUUAUUACAAUGUCGAUUGUAACGAUAUUCCAGUGUUUAUCAACAGCACACAGCUUUCUCAAAUAGAGCUUUAGUGAGUGGGUGGAAGAAAAUGCUGUCCCUAGGGAAGAUGUUCUGACUGUGGUCUGUUUAAGGUUCAAUUAUUUAAAAUAGCUAGUCUAUUUUUGGUCUUUAUUGCCUAAAGAGAUAAAACUGCAUUUGUCUUUAAAGCAUAGAUGCAAAUCACUCCAGCAAAAUUGGGGCUUCGGUCUAUCUGUGGGCCAUCCUUGGUGAUUGUAUAUUUGAUUAUUUCCACCCAGAAUGGCUCUCACAAUUCUUCAGGGACUAACACAUAGCCCUGCUCUAUAUGUGGAGCCUCUGCCUCACAACCAGCCUUUCCUAACUGGCAAAGGAGGGGAACAAGCAAAGGUCUCUGUUCAGUGCCCUGAACCAAAAUCAGGUGUGCGCUGGAGGAAGCUGGUGACCAUGAACUCUGUGUCUCUGACAUUGCCCACCAAUUCAUGGAAAUGGAGACUAAUGAUAUAGUUCAGUGUAGCAGCCACCAUGGCCUCAAAGCCACCCAAAGAAUGGAGAAGCCAUUUGUUUUUUUCUCCAUGAACUUUUUUUUUUUAGAAAGAGUCUUGCUCUCUCGCCCAGGCUGGAGUACACUGGUGAGAUCUCAGCUCACUGUGAGCUCCACCUCCCUGGUUCACGCCAUUCUCCGGCCUCAGUCUACUGAGUAGCUGGGACUAUAGGCGACUGCCACCACGGCUGGUUAAUUUUGAUUUUGUAUUUUUAGUAGAGUUGGGGUUUCACAUGUUAGCCAGGCUAACCUGACCUCAUCAUCUGCCCUCCUUGACCUCCCAAAGUGCUGGUAUUACAAGCAUGAGCCACUGCACCCAGCCUCCAUCACCUUUUAAUGCCAGUAUUUAAUGCUAUAUUUCACACCACUCUGCCAAUGAUUAGGUGCGCGAGACUCCCAAAUCCAGGACACCUGUGAGGGAAGGACAUUGGAGGAGAAAAGCCAGGAAGGCGGUGGGCAGUUAGGAAAUUCAGUCCUGCAGAAAGGCUUGGAUCCAGUUACUCAUCCAUGACAGGGAUUUCUCCUCUGUUUCCAGGACUCAUUAGAUCCUAGGAGAUGAAGGGAUAGAGGUUCCCGCUUAAUGCGUCCAGACUUCUGAAACACUCUACGUGGGAACCCAGAGGGCCUUUCACUAUCCAUCCUUUAUUCUUUCAAGAUUGGCCACUGGCACCUGGAACCGCUGUUUGUACUGAUGAUAAAAUCAGGAACAAAACAUCCACAAUUUCUAAAAUGAUGCGUUUUACAGUCUAGAGAGCAAGAGAAGAGUCCAUUAGUCACCCGAAGUCAUGGAAAAUGACAAUGGUGUUAAAUCUAUGAAUACUAACGCACAUUAUGAGCUGUGAGGAUUUAUAUUAAGGAGGUGCAGCCUAGGAAAACUGUUGAAGGAGCGUAUCCCUAGAGAUGGUAGUGGUUAAACUGAGAUUUGGAGCAAGAACAAAAAAGAAGAGACUUGUGUUGACCCAGAGGAUACAGCGUGGAGUGGAAAGGGCUUUGGUAGGAGGAGCAUGACGCGUGAGGAAUGGCCUGAACUGAGGCAUCUGUGGUUGACCUGGAGGUGAGGAUGCAGAGGAAGGGAGAGGACAGCUGGGAGCGGACAUCACGUGGAGGAGGCUGAGGACUGAUAUGAGCGUGGUGUGGGGAAGAUGGAGUUGUGAAUGCUGACAGGGAAAAGAACAUAGACCUGUGUUGUCAAUGCUGUCUGCAAAUAUACAACUUCAAAUGAGCUUUCCUUUCGAGAAUAACUGAAGAAAAGGACUUCUGAGGCCAGAGCUGCAGGAGGGGCCUGGAAGAGAGGCUGCAUCCACUCACAUCAUGGUAAAGUACAUUCCGUCGUCCAGCUGAGACUGGCCUGGAAGAGAAGCUCAGCACAGGGCAGAGUUUCCCAUGCACAGAGCUGCUCAGAAAUCUGAGGGCCCCAGCCUGGGCAGUGUUGGGGAGACUUCUAUGGGACAACGUCUUCCGCUGCCUGGAUCGCAGUCUCGUGAAGACGAGGCCACCUAUAUCUUCCACUGAGCAUUGUGUGCAGAGGAAGGUGGCUGUGGGGUGACUGCUGGUGCAAGAGGGCACAGAGGUCUGGGAGAGGCUGUCUGACACCAAGGCCACAUAUUUGGCUUUGAGAGAAAGUUACAGACCCUCAGCAAUUUCUCUGUAGUGUGUGCUGGGACGGAUCAGCUGUGCACCAGCUUCAGCUCCUAUUAACACCUACACAUGUAGUCAUGGAUGACAGUCUUAAGCAUCUCCAUGUUGCUUCGCAUCCUGCCUUUGUUCUCUGGUAUCUUGGGAUCUGGUUAUCCCAGAUUCUAUGAAGUCUAUGAUAGAAGGAAGUUGAGUGCCCAAAGAGGGACCUCAAUAAUGUAGACCUGUGGUAAAGGCUUAGGCUAGGAUGUGGUAAGCCAAGGAAAAGGCUUUAGGGGACUCACCUGCCCCCGGGAGGUAAAAGGCCUCACCAUUGAGGAAUCUGGUGGCCAAGGCAGGGUCAGGGAAAAUUCGGCGAAUUGUGGGAGGUUUUUCAGCUUGUGCGUUGGGGACAUAAUUCCUGGAUGUCAGUAGAGUCACUGGUGAUGCCACUGCCCCUGCCAGCUAGUGAUUCUGCCCUCUGCCUGCAACUCCUCCCUCUACCUGCUGCAACCUUCAACCUGAAGUCCAGUCAUAAACAUUCGCCCAUGUUGUCUCUGCUCCUGGCUGUCUUUCUUCUACAAGACAAUAGACAGACAAGGUUCAUGAUAAUUUGCCUUCCAAUUAUCUCUCCACUGUCAGCACGAGGUGUCCACUUUAGAGCUCUUUUUGACAGACGAUUGCUUCUUCACUGAACAUAUGUGCUUCCCUCCAAUUCCUAGGUCUCUAUCUUAUUUCUCACAUGAGAUAUAUUUCAGGUUCAUUUAUUCUUAUUGGUGAAAAUCCAAACUUAAAUUUUAGUAGAAUAAAUUGAGAAAAAUAUCAUUAGACAUUUAUAUGAGAAAGCAGUUUUUGUCUACACACAAACAAAAUUGUUUUUAGUUAUUGUUGCAUUAAAUUAAACUUGUGUAAAACACCAUAAAAAUGAAAGUGUAGGCUGCAGACUGGGGAUAGACAAAGGGAAUGCAUAUAAAUGAUUUUUAAAAAGUGUUAAAUUUAACAUUCCUCAAAGUUUCUAAUGAAGAGGCCAGAGUAAUGACCCCUGAAGACAUGUAAGCCUCUAGUGAGGCCCUGCUGGUCACUAGAUGGCAGUUUGAGGGCUCUGACUUACUGACCAGGACACAGAAGGUGAUGAUGGAGCAGGGGGGUAGGUGGAAAAUGGAUGCACUACUUUGUUUCCUACUUCUGGUCCUUACAAGCCAGGAGACACUGGGGAAAAUGACUGAAUGUCCCUGAGACUUCCAUCUGUCAAGGAAGAAUAAGAAUGAUUGAUGUGCAAGGUUGUUGAAAGACUUUAAGCUAUAUAACAAAUUCAAAGAAUCUAGCACACAUCUGGGGCUCCGCAGUCACUCUUCUACUGAAGUUACCCAGGAAGUGACAAGCUGCAAGAAGAUGCUGCACAGAAGCCGGCACACUCAGGGCAUAGGAAACCUGGGCUCUGUUUGGGAGAGCUCUGUGCUCAGUAGGACACAACACAUGCCUUCCAUACAACUAAAAGCUUCCCUUGCAGGAGUGAAACCUGGGUGGGGCCUGCAGCUCUCAAGUCAAAGCUAAGGCAGGAAGUUUAUGUAUAGAAUGUCAGAGACUCUGCCGGGCUGUGCCAAGCUGCUGGCACAGAGAUACAGGGCCGAGUCGUCCAGCUCCAAGGCGUUCACAUUCAGCUCAGAGCUAUAAUUAGGGAACUGGAGACCUGAGAAUCUAGGAGGGAAGUUUCCUCUGCCAUUCUCUUCCUCCCUAUAAUACUGAAAGAUAAACUGGGGCCCCUGACCCAGGGCCUGUUGGUACCAGGACACAGUGUUGUGCCCAGACUGAGAAGAGCAUCUCAGAGUCACUUGCUGUCCUCUCGUUUUGAUCAGGUGUGUGGGACUUUGGGUGACUCCAGUCUCCACUGAGCCUGUGGGAAAAGCAGAUGGAGGAUGAGCACAGCAGAAAGCCUGGAGGUCCUCCCCAAGAGAAAUACCACGGACUGGGCAAUGUAUAAAGACAAGAGGUUUAUUUGGCUUAUAGAUGUGGAGACUGGGAAGUCCAGGAUCAAAGGGCCACAGCUGGUGAGGUCCUCCUGCUGUUAUCCAAGGCAGAAGGAAGGGGAAGCAAGCACUUAAGACAGAGAAAACAGCUGAAUUCAUCCUUUUUAUUGGAAGACCAUUCCCAGGAAAACUAAGUCACUCGCCCAAUAAGGGCAUUGAUUUCUUUCUGAGGGCAGAUCCCUUAUGACCUAGUCAUAGCUGUCCCACCUCCCAAUACCAUUCCACUGACAAAUUUCAACAUGAGCUUUUGUGGGGACACGCAAGCAUAGCACACACAUCUACACUAUGAGUCAGUAUUUCCACUCUUAAGUGUAGGUUUUAAAAGAAGAAAAAAGAAUGCAUAUGUCCAAAAGAAAGAUUUCCACAAGAAUGUUCACAACAACUUUAUUCAUAAUAGUUGAAGACAGGAAUAACAUGGAUAUCCAUCAACAAGAGAAUGCACAAAAAAUUUGUGGUAUAUUUAUGCAAUGGAAUAUUAGUCAUAAGAAAGAAUGACCUACUGAUACAACAAUAUGAAUACACUUCAGAAAUACUAAUUUUGGAGAAAAAUAACUAAUAAAAUAUGAUUCCAUUUAUAUGAAGCUGAAGAAUAGACAAAGCUAGUCAAUGGUGAUAAAAACAGAAAAGUUUUUAUCUCUGGGAUAGAAAUUGAUUGGAAAGGAGCAUGAGGACACUUUCUUGAGUGAUGGAAAUUUUUUUUAUAAUCAUUUCAGUUACUGUUGCACUGGUGUAUGCAAUUGUCAAAAUGUACCAGGAUGUUUUUGUAUUAAUACUUGUGUUUUACUCUCAAUUAUACCUUAAUAAAAAGUGUUACUAAAAAUUAAA
This is a long non-coding RNA of Homo sapiens (human), 7104 nucleotides long. RefSeq lists it as uncharacterized. The transcript has 2 exons. The record is from RefSeq and is a predicted model, not a curated record. NCBI's taxonomy places the organism in Eukaryota, Metazoa, Chordata, Mammalia, Primates, Hominidae.